GUGCUAACUUUGGCAACACAUAUACUAAAAUUGGAAUGAUACAGAGAUUAUCAUGGCCCCUGUGCAAAUUUGUGAAGCGUUCCAUAUUAAA
RNAcentral lists this small nuclear RNA (91 nucleotides) under Otolemur garnettii (small-eared galago). The record is from RNAcentral. Lineage: Eukaryota; Metazoa; Chordata; Mammalia; Primates; Galagidae.